GACGAACGCUGGCGGCGUGCUUAACACAUGCAAGUCGAACGGAAAGGCCCUGCUUGCAGGGUACUCGAGUGGCGAACGGGUGAGUAACACGUGGGUGAUCUGCCCUGCACUUCGGGAUAAGCCUGGGAAACUGGGUCUAAUACCGGAUAGGAGCCAUUUUUAGUGUGAUGGUUGGAAAGUUUUUUCGGUGUAGGAUGAGCUCGCGGCCUAUCAGCUUGUUGGUGGGGUAAUGGCCUACCAAGGCGGCGACGGGUAGCCGGCCUGAGAGGGUGGACGGCCACAUUGGGACUGAGAUACGGCCCAGACUCCUACGGGAGGCAGCAGUGGGGAAAAUUGCACAAUGGGCGCAAGCCUGAUGCAGCGACGCCGCGUGGGGGAUGACGGCCUUCGGGUUGUAAACUCCUUUCGCUAGGGACGAAGCUUUUUGUGACGGUACCUAGAUAAGAAGCACCGGCUAACUACGUG
This 465-nucleotide ribosomal RNA is filed under the name uncultured bacterium. Its description in RNAcentral is "partial 16S ribosomal RNA". It matches the Rfam family "Bacterial small subunit ribosomal RNA", at positions 28 to 507 of the family's 1533-position model. The record is from RNAcentral.